UACGGAGGGGGCAAGCGUUAUUCGGAAUCAUUGGGCGUAAAGGGCGCGUAGGCGGCUUCAUAAGUCUUGGGUGAAAGCCCUCGGCUCAACCGAGGAAUUGCCUUGGAUACUGUGAAGCUCGAGGCUGGAAGAGGGCAGUGGAAUUCCCGGUGUAGCGGUGAAAUGCGUAGAUAUCGGGAGGAACAUCAGUUGCGAAGGCGGCUCUCUGGACCAGCACUGACACUGAGGCACGAAAGCGUGGGGAGCAAACAGG
Molecule: ribosomal RNA, 253 nt
Filed under: uncultured bacterium
Lineage: Bacteria
Description: partial 16S ribosomal RNA
Rfam family: Bacterial small subunit ribosomal RNA
Source: RNAcentral